AAGUAUUCUUCGGUGCAGCCAGCGCUUCCAACAGCGCGGCAGCCCAAACCUUACACACUGUGAUUAAGUUUUUUUACUAUUUACUUUGGCUGCGCAAGUGGCCAAAGGUCUUAAACACAAAGAUUUAUAUCUUUUUUUACAAAAUUUAAUCAAUGAAGUUUUAAUACUAUAAUCUUC
Molecule: unclassified non-coding RNA, 177 nt
Filed under: soil metagenome
Description: partial internal transcribed spacer 1
Source: RNAcentral